UCCCUAAGUGUAUGGAAAAACAGUGCGAAGAAGAAAUCAGUGAAUUGGAUGGACAUACAGGAGGUUUAUAGGGAGAGCCCCCGCAAGCUGUUCUGUGUUGGGGCUGAAAUGAGAUAUAGCAGACCAGGAAGAUUAUUCACCCUCUUAGUGAGAUGUCUGUAUGGUCACCUCAUGUUGAAACAACUCUGAGUGAUUAUAUCACUGAUGUGAUGAACUUGCCUGAUACUAACAUAACACUAAAUAAUGACAUUCAGUGGCAAUAAGUCUUAGACUUUGGGCUCCAGUGAUGCACCUUUCUUGUUUGCUUGAAUACCAGAAAAAGAAAGGUUUCAAUUUUUAUUCUGAAUAAAAUACAGUUUUGCUUAAAUCCAGGCCUGCUCAGGUCAUGAAAAUCUGAUGUAAUCCUGGGUGUGUGG
Non-coding RNA from Pantherophis guttatus, 416 nucleotides. Lineage: Eukaryota; Metazoa; Chordata; Lepidosauria; Squamata; Colubridae. The record is from RefSeq and is a predicted model, not a curated record.